CGUCUCCUGGGAUGCUCGCCAGUCUGGUGUCGUCCUUGAGCCGUUAGAGAAACUACAGGGGAUUUCGGCGACUUCGCCUGUGUGCAUGCCCGCCGUUUGCGGGACGCCUUUGUCGCUGCCCGAGUCUCCGCCUUGAGCCAAUACGGUUCAGGGCCAACCUGUACAGCGGCAUCUCCGGGAGGCAA
RNAcentral lists this non-coding RNA (185 nucleotides) under Gammaproteobacteria bacterium. Its description in RNAcentral is "6S RNA". It matches the Rfam family "6S / SsrS RNA". Rfam says of the family: E. coli 6S RNA was the first non coding RNA to be sequenced, but its function was unknown until recently. The record is from RNAcentral. Lineage: Bacteria; Pseudomonadati; Pseudomonadota; Gammaproteobacteria.